GCCGAAAUAGCUCAGUUGGGAGAGCGUUAGACUGAAGAUCUAAAG
Molecule: transfer RNA, 45 nt
Organism: Pterocles gutturalis (yellow-throated sandgrouse)
Lineage: Eukaryota; Metazoa; Chordata; Aves; Pterocliformes; Pteroclidae
Rfam family: tRNA
About the family: Transfer RNA (tRNA) molecules are approximately 80 nucleotides in length. Their secondary structure includes four short double-helical elements and three loops (D, anti-codon, and T loops). Further hydrogen bonds mediate the characteristic L-shaped molecular structure. tRNAs have two regions of fundamental functional importance: the anti-codon, which is responsible for specific mRNA codon recognition, and the 3' end, to which the tRNAs corresponding amino acid is attached (by aminoacyl-tRNA synthetases). tRNAs cope with the degeneracy of the genetic code in two manners: having more than one tRNA (with a specific anti-codon) for a particular amino acid; and 'wobble' base-pairing, i.e. permitting non-standard base-pairing at the 3rd anti-codon position.
Source: Rfam